Rosa chinensis is the source of this 179-nucleotide long non-coding RNA. RefSeq lists it as uncharacterized. Lineage: Eukaryota; Viridiplantae; Streptophyta; Magnoliopsida; Rosales; Rosaceae. The transcript has 2 exons. The record is from RefSeq and is a predicted model, not a curated record.
CUCCCUGCUAUAAUUUCUCUAGGCUUAACUUGAGUAAUCCCUCCCCUUGUCUCUUACUCAUGAUCAAAUAAUGCAUUUGUUUCAGGCAAACAUUCCUGCUGCUUACCUAAAUGCCAAUAUGGAGUAGAGUGAACAACAGGAGAAAACUCUGAAUAUGUCACCCCUGAAAAAGUUGCCAA